This 695-nucleotide ribosomal RNA is filed under the name Bacillus sp. (in: firmicutes). Its description in RNAcentral is "bacterial SSU rRNA". It matches the Rfam family "Bacterial small subunit ribosomal RNA", at positions 47 to 725 of the family's 1533-position model. The record is from RNAcentral. Lineage: Bacteria; Bacillati; Bacillota; Bacilli; Caryophanales; Bacillaceae.
CCUAAUACAUGCAAGUCGAGCGAAUCGAUGGGAGCUUGCUCCCUGAGAUUAGCGGCGGACGGGUGAGUAACACGUGGGCAACCUGCCUAUAAGACUGGGAUAACUUCGGGAAACCGGAGCUAAUACCGGAUACGUUCUUUUCUCGCAUGAGAGAAGAUGGAAAGACGGUUUACGCUGUCACUUAUAGAUGGGCCCGCGGCGCAUUAGCUAGUUGGUGAGGUAAUGGCUCACCAAGGCGACGAUGCGUAGCCGACCUGAGAGGGUGAUCGGCCACACUGGGACUGAGACACGGCCCAGACUCCUACGGGAGGCAGCAGUAGGGAAUCUUCCGCAAUGGACGAAAGUCUGACGGAGCAACGCCGCGUGAACGAAGAAGGCCUUCGGGUCGUAAAGUUCUGUUGUUAGGGAAGAACAAGUACCAGAGUAACUGCUGGUACCUUGACGGUACCUAACCAGAAAGCCACGGCUAACUACGUGCCAGCAGCCGCGGUAAUACGUAGGUGGCAAGCGUUGUCCGGAAUUAUUGGGCGUAAAGCGCGCGCAGGUGGUUCUUUAAGUCUGAUGUGAAAGCCCACGGCUCAACCGUGGAGGGUCAUUGGAAACUGGGGAACUUGAGUGCAGAAGAGGAAAGUGGAAUUCCAAGUGUAGCGGUGAAAUGCGUAGAGAUUUGGAGGAACACCAGUGGCGAAGGCGAC